GAUGAAGAACGUAGCGAAAUGCGAUAAGUAAUGUGAAUUGCAGAAUUCAGUGAAUCAUCGAAUCUUUGAACGCACAUUGCGCCCGCCAGUAUUCUGGCGGGCAUGCCUGUUCGAGCGUCAUUUCAACCAUCAAGCCCCAGGCUUGUGUUGGAGCCCUGCGGCUGCCGCAGCCUCCCAAAACCAGUGGCGGGCUCGCUAUCACACCGAGUGCAGUAGUUUACUCUUCGCUCAGGGCGUGUGGCGGGUGCUAGCCGUGAAACCCCCAACUUCUCAAGGUUGACCUCGGAUCAGGUAGGAAUACCCGCUGAACUUAAGCAUAUCAAUAACGGAGGA
RNAcentral lists this unclassified non-coding RNA (333 nucleotides) under soil metagenome. RNAcentral describes it as "partial contains 5.8S ribosomal RNA, internal transcribed spacer 2, and large subunit ribosomal RNA". The stretch from base 1 to 120 matches the Rfam family "5.8S ribosomal RNA", at positions 35 to 154 of the family's 154-position model. The record is from RNAcentral.